AGCAGCCGCGGUAAUUCCAGCUCCAAUAGCGUAUAUUAAAGUUGUUGCAGUUAAAAAGCUCGUAGUUGAAUUUCGGGGUUAGUAGGUCGGUCAUGCCUCAGGUAUGUACUGGUCUCACUGAUUCCUCCUUCCUGAUGAGCCGUAAUGCCAUUAAUUUGGUGUUGCGGGGAAUCUGGACUGUUAACCUUGAAAAAAUUAGAGUGUUUAAAGCAGGCUAACGCUUGAAUACAUUAGCAUGGAAUAAAUGGAAUAGGACGUUCGAUCCUAUUUUGUUGGUUUCUAGGAUUGACGUAAUGAUUAAUAGGGAUAGUUGGGGGCAUUAGUAUUCAAUUGUCAGAGGUGAAAUUCUUGGAUUUAUUGAAGACUAACUACUGCAAAAGCAUUUGCCAAGGAUGUUUUCAUUAAUCAAGAACGAAAGUUAGGGGAUUGAAGACGAUCAGAUACCGUCGUAGUCUUAACCAUAAACUAAUGCCGACUAGGGAUCGGAUGAUGUAAUUUUUAAUGA
Molecule: ribosomal RNA, 505 nt
Filed under: uncultured Glomus
Lineage: Eukaryota; Fungi; Glomeromycota; Glomeromycetes; Glomerales; Glomeraceae
Description: SSU rRNA
Rfam family: Eukaryotic small subunit ribosomal RNA
Source: RNAcentral